AUACUCUGGUUUCCCCUCAGAUCAGAUAAAUCUUUCACCUUUUACUAAAGAUUUCCGUGGAGAGGAACAGUUACAACUGUUUUCAGAG
RNAcentral lists this small nuclear RNA (88 nucleotides) under Cuculus canorus (common cuckoo). RNAcentral's name for it is "U5 spliceosomal RNA". It matches the Rfam family "U5 spliceosomal RNA", at positions 1 to 88 of the family's 117-position model. Rfam says of the family: U5 RNA is a component of both types of known spliceosome. The precise function of this molecule is unknown, though it is known that the 5' loop is required for splice site selection and p220 binding, and that both the 3' stem-loop and the Sm site are important for Sm protein binding and cap methylation. The record is from Rfam by way of RNAcentral. Lineage: Eukaryota; Metazoa; Chordata; Aves; Cuculiformes; Cuculidae.